This 481-nucleotide ribosomal RNA is filed under the name uncultured Bacteroidota bacterium. RNAcentral's name for it is "bacterial SSU rRNA". It matches the Rfam family "Bacterial small subunit ribosomal RNA", at positions 9 to 482 of the family's 1533-position model. The record is from RNAcentral. Lineage: Bacteria; Pseudomonadati; Bacteroidota.
GAGUUUGAUCCUGGCUCAGGAUGAACGCUAGCGGCAGGCUUAAUACAUGCAAGUCGAGGGGCAGCAGCUUUAUAGCAAUAUAGAGGCUGGCGACCGGCAAACGGGUGCGGAACACGUACACAACCUUCCUUGAAUAGGGGGAUAGCCCAUAGAAAUGUGGAUUAAUACCCCGUAAUAUAGCGGUGUGGCAUCACACUGUUAUUAUAGUUUCGGCGAUUCGAGAUGGGUGUGCGGCUGAUUAGGUAGUUGGCGGGGUAAAGGCCCACCAAGCCUUCGAUCAGUAGCUGAUGUGAGAGCAUGAUCAGCCACACGGGCACUGAGACACGGGCCCGACUCCUACGGGAGGCAGCAGUAAGGAAUAUUGGUCAAUGGACGCAAGUCUGAACCAGCCAUGCCGCGUGAAGGAUGAAGGUCCUCUGGAUUGUAAACUUCUUUUAUAGGGGGCGAAAAAAGGUCUUUCUAGAUCACUGACAGUACCGUA